Plutella xylostella (diamondback moth) is the source of this 1886-nucleotide long non-coding RNA. RefSeq lists it as uncharacterized. The record is from RefSeq and is a predicted model, not a curated record. Lineage: Eukaryota; Metazoa; Arthropoda; Insecta; Lepidoptera; Plutellidae.
UGUACACUGAAAAAAAUAAUUUUUAGCAAAGUACCAAUUUAGCUUGGUAAAAAAUUAUUCAGCUGCAUUCAAUCAAGACAUAUUUAAAUUAUGCAAUUAAGCUUAGCUAAUAUUGUACAAGCAAGUAUUGCUAAAUAUUCUUGGCUAUUAUUAACAAAGUACUCGUCUAUUUCUAAAUUACCAACUCGACUAAAAAUUACCAAAACCAUAUUCGGUUGAAACUAAACAAGUUACAUAUUUAUUACAUAGUAAGUAAGUUAUUUAAUUUUAGUCAUAAUCAUAGUUGGCUAUAGUUUACACCGAGCUUGGUUAAAAAUAGACAAGCUUACAUUAUUGUUUCAUAAUAAGUAAGUUAUUUAAUUUUGGAUAUAAUCAUAGUUGGCUAAAAUUUUCAGUUACGAGUUUGGUUAAAAAUAGACAAGCUUACAUUAUUAUUUAAUGAUAAGAAGUAAUUUAUUUAAUUUUAGACAUCAACGUAGUUAAAAUUAAAUAACUCACUAUGAUGCAUGUAACCGUGCCACCUAUAUAUUGGUAAAUAAGCACAGCUCAUUAAUUAACAAUUGAGUGGGCGAAUACUAUUUAUAUCCGAGUAACUUGAUAAAAAAUAAACAAGGAAUCGGCUACAUAGCCUGAGAUUUCGGCCAUUUCUCCCAAAUCAUAGUCGCGUGACGGACGUGUCUGUUGAAGCUCCUCCCGAGGCGGAGGUCUUCACCUCUAUCUCCAAGCUUUCGUUUACCAGACGGACUAAUAAGAAAGAUGAAGAAGACAAACUGUUAAGGCUUCACAAUUACGCUUAGGCCUUGGACAGCUGUAGAACAAAGGUGUGAAGAGACCACAGAGACAAGGAUAAUUGCUUCAAAAGAGUUAUCCACAGCUCAAUACUUCAAUGAAUAUGCUGCUCUUAAAAACCGAAAGGAUAUGUCCUGGUUCAGAGGAGACAUCAAACAUAGCAUGUUUGCUGUUCAUACCACCGUCCACCACCCUUAAGGCUGAAGAACGCAGCAAAAAAGAUUUGACGUCCUUCAAAAGCAGAGACCACGGCCAGUAUUAUUCUUCAUGUCAGAAGUUACUCCGAUAUCUGUACUAUGGUAACAAGUAAGCUAACAAAAUUUCUAUAAUAUGGGCUCACUGUCACCUUUUAUAAUUAUUGUCGGUGAAUCCAUUGAUGCAUGGAUGUUUAAAUUGUAUUCUUAAGUUACUUCUCAUCAAGCAAAAUAUUGUCUAAUAUUACUUUAAUGUGUAAAUUACAUUAGGUACGAUAUAUUCCUGAUAUGACCUACGCAUCAAAGAUAUCGAUGAUCAUAGAUAUUGACAAUUUUUUAACUAAAAAUCAUUUCCAAUUACUGAAAUACUUAAAAUGGCCUUGGGUUAAGACACAUUUUAUUUUGUCUAGUAAGUGUUUUGGGUGUGAUUUUUUGACGGUUUGUAAUGAAGCUCAACCAGAACAUUUUAUAAUAGAAAACGAACAAUAUGUAAAGAAUUUAUUGCACUUUAAUUUUUUUUGGUGUAAAAACUGUUUAGAGUGUAGCAUUUAUGAUCAUUUUCCCGAUGAUGAAUGUGAAUUAUGUUUGAUUUAGAUCUAUUUAAAAGUUUAUAUGACGGUAUUAUUGGGUUGUAUAAAAGUUAGGUCAUUACAUACCUAUUAUCUUAGCUUAUUCUAUAUUUAUUAUCUUAUGUUCUGGCUAAUCAACUAAAAGUAUAAAUUUAUGUAAAGUAACUUGCUAACAUUACAAUAACUGUCAUUUGUUUUUUUAUGUAAACAAUGUAUUAACAAACACAGUUUCUUGAUAUUGUGUACUAGUUUUAAGAUUAAUUCUUAUAACAGAGUAGUUUGUUACCUGAAAUGACUGUAUGGUGUACUGAAUAAAGCUAAUUUCGUAUGUACA